AAGUUGUUGCGGUUAAAAGCUCGUAGUUCGAGCUCAGUUCCGGACUGGCCGGGGAGGUCACCGCCCGGUGCUUCCCCGUCAGGCUCCGAACAGCCUUCGUGAGCGGAGGCCAAGCCGGUUCUGCCGGGGUGCUCUUUACCGAGUGUCCCGCGCGGCCGGCCAGUUCACCUUGAAUAAAUGAGAGUGCUCAAAGCAGGCUACUCUCGAAUACAAUGCCCGAAUGUUACCUGCAUGGAAUGAUGGAAGAUGAUCUCGGUUCCAUUUUAUUGGUGGUGGGAGCCCGAGGUAAUGAUAAACAGGGACUGUCGGGGGCAUCCGUACUACGACGCGAGAGGUGAAAUUCAGUGACCGUCGUAGGACGAACAACAGCGAAAGCAUUUGCCAAGAAUGUCUUCGUUGAUCAAGAACGAAAGUUAGAGGAUCGAAGGCGAUCAGAUACCGCCCUAGUUCUAACCCUAAACGAUGCUGACUAGCAAUUCGCCGUCGUUAUUCCCAUGACGUGGCGAGACGCCCCCGGGAAACCUCAAGUCUUUGAGUUCCGGGGGUAGUAUGGUUGCAAAACUGAAACUUAAAGAAAUUGACGGAAGGGCACCACCAGGAGUGGAGCCUGCGGCUUAAUUUGACUCAACACGGGAAACCUCACCAGGCCCGGACACCAGAAGGAUUGACAGAUUAAGAGCUCUUUCUCGAUUUGGUGGGUGGUGGUGCAUGGCCGUUCUUAGUUGGUGGAGUGAUUUGUCUGGUUAAUUCCGGUAACGAACGAGACUCUGGCCUACUAAAUAGUCGACGGGCGUUUUGGUGCAUGGGCCCCGUUCGACACAGUCUUCUUAGAGGGAUGAGCAGCGAGUAUAGCUGCAGGAGAUUGAGCAAUAACAGGUCUGUGAUGCCCUUAGAUGUCCUGGGCCGCACGCGCGCUACACUGAAUGGGUUAGCGGGUUGUCCUUCUCCGAGAGGAGCGGGAAAUCGCUUGAAAACCAUUCGUGAUAGGGAUUGGGGCUUGCAAUUGUUUCCCAUGAACGAGGAAUUCCCAGUAAGCGCAAGUCAUCAGCUUGCGUUGAUUAAGUCCCUGCCCUUUGUACACACCGCCCGUCGCUACUACCGAUUGAAUGAUUUAGUGAGGCCUUCGGACUGGCGGUCUUGGACUGGGGCGCCGGCGUUCUCCAGCGAUGGGGUGCCGGCGACCCGCCUAGACGGGCCGGAAAGAUGUCCAAACUUGAUCAUUUAGAGGAAGUAAAAGUCGUAACAAGGUUUCCGUAGGUGA
RNAcentral lists this ribosomal RNA (1261 nucleotides) under Palaemonella okunoi. Its description in RNAcentral is "SSU rRNA". It matches the Rfam family "Eukaryotic small subunit ribosomal RNA", at positions 607 to 1812 of the family's 1831-position model. The record is from RNAcentral. Lineage: Eukaryota; Metazoa; Arthropoda; Malacostraca; Decapoda; Palaemonidae.